Molecule: ribosomal RNA, 253 nt
Filed under: uncultured bacterium
Lineage: Bacteria
Description: partial 16S ribosomal RNA
Rfam family: Bacterial small subunit ribosomal RNA
Source: RNAcentral
UACAGAGGGGGCAAGCGUUGUUCGGAAUUACUGGGCGUAAAGGGCUCGUAGGCUGCCAACUAAGUCGGACGUGAAAUCCCUCGGCUUAACCGGGGAACUGCGUCUGAUACUGGAUGGCUUGAGUUUGGGAGAGGGAUGCGGAAUUCCAGGUGUAGCGGUGAAAUGCGUAGAUAUCUGGAGGAACACCGGUGGCGAAGGCGGCAUCCUGGACCAACACUGACGCUGAUGAGCGAAAGCCAGGGGAGCAAACGGG